AAGCGAAACUCGUUUGCUGCGUGAUGUUUCAUCUCUACAGUUUAUUCAGGAAGGAAGAGAUCCAAUAUUGCUCUGUGGACAGACGGUUGAGAUUCCACCACCACGUCCAAUUGCCCGAAUGCGUCAUGCUUCCUCUGCACCAAUGCCGAUCCCUGCUCUGAUUGAGGAGAACAAAGCUAACCCACGCCCCCUCCGACAUGUGGGCAGCAUGCCGUAUGCAUCUUAUCACCUACACUUUGACGAGUGCAGUGCAGCUCAGCGUUGUGUAUGGAGAGACACACCCUGAGAGCACUCUUUUCUCAUCUCUGUGCAGGCGCCACCAAUCAGCCAGCAGAGGUCGUAACCGCAUCAUUUAUGAGGAGCGUCAUUCCAGCUUUUACCCUGUGUAAACAACAUUCAUUGUUCAUAUAGGUGCCCAGCCGGAUGGCAAAGCUGAGAUUUCGAAUGUGUGCUAGCAUGUUUUACCUGAGCGCCCACGUCGUAUAAUUUUAUUUAAAAUCCUCCUGCCCUCGCUGGUCUGUUAAAUGAUAUCUUAUACUAUAUGUAGAGAAUGUAAUUCUGAAACACAUUGGGCCCUUUAAAACCAAUAAAGCUUUGUUUGUGUGCACCACC
This is a long non-coding RNA of Trichomycterus rosablanca, 612 nucleotides long. RefSeq lists it as uncharacterized. NCBI's taxonomy places the organism in Eukaryota, Metazoa, Chordata, Actinopteri, Siluriformes, Trichomycteridae. The record is from RefSeq and is a predicted model, not a curated record. The transcript is spliced from 3 exons.